ACUUGAAUUGAAGAGUUUGAUCAUGGCUCAGAUUGAACGCUGGCGGCAGGCUUAACACAUGCAAGUCGAACGGUAGCAGGAGAAAGCUUGCUUUCUUGCUGACGAGUGGCGGACGGGUGAGUAAUGCUUGGGAAUCUGGCUUAUGGAGGGGGAUAACGACGGGAAACUGUCGCUAAUACCGCGUAUUAUCGAAAGAUGAAAGUGCGGGACUGAGAGGCCGCAUGCCAUAGGAUGAGCCCAAGUGGGAUUAGGUAGUUGGUGGGGUAAAGGCCUACCAAGCCUGCGAUCUCUAGCUGGUCUGAGAGGAUGACCAGCCACACUGGAACUGAGACACGGUCCAGACUCCUACGGGAGGCAGCAGUGGGGAAUAUUGCGCAAUGGGGGGAACCCUGACGCAGCCAUGCCGCGUGAAUGAAGAAGGCCUUAGGGUUGUAAAGUUCUUUCGGUAUUGAGGAAGGUUGAUGUGUUAAUAGCACAUCAAAUUGACGUUAAAUACAGAAGAAGCACCGGCUAACUCCGUGCCAGCAGCCGCGGUAAUACGGAGGGUGCGAGCGUUAAUCGGAAUAACUGGGCGUAAAGGGCACGCAGGCGGUUAUUUAAGUGAGGUGUGAAAGCCCUGGG
Molecule: ribosomal RNA, 621 nt
Filed under: Haemophilus influenzae 60294N1
Lineage: Bacteria; Pseudomonadati; Pseudomonadota; Gammaproteobacteria; Pasteurellales; Pasteurellaceae
Description: bacterial SSU rRNA
Rfam family: Bacterial small subunit ribosomal RNA
Source: RNAcentral